AACGAACGCUGGCGGCAGGCUUAACACAUGCAAGUCGAACGAAACCUUCGGGUCUAGUGGCAGACGGGUGAGGAACACGUGGGAACAUCCCUUUCAGUUCGGAAUAACGUUGGGAAACUAACGCUAAUACCGGAUACGUCCUUCGGGAGAAAGAUUUAUCGCUGAAAGAUUGGCCCGCGUCUGAUUAGCUAGUUGGUGAGGUAAUGGCUCACCAAGGCUACGAUCAGUAGCUGAUCUGAGAGGAUGAUCAGCCACAUUGGGACUGAGACACGGCCCAAACUCCUACGGGAGGCAGCAGUGGGGAAUAUUGGACAAUGGGCGCAAGCCUGAUCCAGCCAUGCCGCGUGAGUGAUGAUGGCCUUCGGGUUGUAAAGCUCUUUUGUCCGGGAAGAUAAUGACUGUACCGGAAGAAUAAGCCCCGGCAAACUUCGUGCCAGCAGCCGCCGUAA
Molecule: ribosomal RNA, 449 nt
Filed under: uncultured bacterium
Lineage: Bacteria
Description: partial 16S ribosomal RNA
Rfam family: Bacterial small subunit ribosomal RNA
Source: RNAcentral